Molecule: long non-coding RNA, 2401 nt
Organism: Aegilops tauschii subsp. strangulata
Lineage: Eukaryota; Viridiplantae; Streptophyta; Magnoliopsida; Poales; Poaceae
Source: RefSeq, a predicted model, not a curated record
CAUUAUGUACAUUAUUUUUGCUACUGCUGGCCUUGAAUUGGCACUGAUUUGGGCCACCUUGUUGAAUGAUUCGUGCACGGAUGUGUUUCGUUGGUCUUUUGCGGCAUGUGGGGAGCGUAAACUGGAAGAACGUGUGAAGCAGGCAUCGCUGCUGCGCUGGACGACGUUGUGCGAGGCCAUGGCCAUGGACGAUGUGCUGUUGGAGAACGACGCAGGACUAAGAUAGUCGAUGUGAACGACCACUGGAAUUCCAAUUGGUUAUGGAUUCGUAUGAUGCAGCCUACAUGUUCCCAUCACCCAGUAAAAUAUAGACAUCAAUUAUUGCAUCUGGGUUUAUAUUAUGCAUCCCCGCUGCCAGUUUCAUUGUUAAGUAGGAACGAAGAUUACAUUUAUAAAUGAUAUAUGUAUGUAAUUGUGUGCUGCAUUCUUGCUGCUUCCAGUAGAUGUACUAUCUUUUCAGCGUUGACUUUUAAAGCGUUUUUGCUGACAAGAAGCUUAUCAGUCGUAAUGUUCAGCACCUACAUUACCUGAUGGUCAUGUAGUGCUAGGGAAAUAGAUAUUAAUGUGGGAAAUAGAUAUACAAUAUGUUAUAAAGGAUAAGACAAGUAAUUAUUGGGUGUGAAAGAUCAGGAUGGAAGCAUUUUUUUUGCUAUCAUAUGAAUUACUGAAUACAAUCUCGUAUGCAACCCCUCAAAAUUAGAUUUAAUUCAUGCUCGUACACCAUCACUUAAGUAGGAAAAGAGAAGUAUUUCUAAGGCUACUCUAUAUCUUAUUUUUCUUUCACAGCAUAUAUAUUAUUAGUUAUAUGUUUGCCUGGGUAGGAAAGUAACAAUCAAUCCCUCAAAAUAAAAGGAAACUAAUGAUCAAGACCUUAGCUGGCUGACAGUAACUCCAUUCAUUCUCUUCCAAUUAUUAUUCUUUUAGUUAUUUUUCUAUUCUCAUGGGUAGGUUUCUUCUGUGUUGUUUUGCUUUAGUUUUGUAGUUGUCACUCCCAUGUAUUUCUUCGACGAGGAGGCGUGGACACGAGGCCUAACUAUCCGGUAUAAAUUGGUUUUCCCACUGUCGCCGUGAGAUUGGAUUGUUGUUCCGUUUUCUGCACAUGAUUGUUCCACUUGUGAUUUAUCAUAUAUGAAUUGCUACUUGACAUCCUUUUGAUCCAGCGUGAUUUCUUGCUUCUUCUCAUCUUGUUGACUAAUGGUUGUGUUUGUUCUCUCGCCAAACGCCGGGACUUUGAGUUGCCUGCCAUGGUGGAGCUCGGGAUGUUGGCAGAUCUGACCGGACUGUGCCAUUUGGAGUAACAGUCUACAAUGCCACAACACUUUGUUGGACCUAUUUUUGACGUUUCUUCUGCCAGGUAUCUCUAUGAUUUAAGUAGAUAGAAGUUAUUAAUUACACGUUCAUUGUGGUAGACCGAUUGUCUCUCUUCUACAAUUGGAAAUCUGUUAUGUUCUGAUGAGAUGCUAUCGUAUGACUAAUAUGUAACUGGUGAUGUUUUAUGUCUCAUAGUUAAACUUUGUUUCAUAUUUCGAAUUGGUUAUUGAACAUUUUUGUUUCCAUGACAGUAGAUCUAUAUCGGGAUUUAUAGCAUAUGCUCUAUGUGCAGUUGAUGAGUCUUUCAGGGAUCCAAAUUGUCUGCCUUCGGAAAAUCGGAAGAAUGAAAGAAUGGGAUUUAUAGCAUAUAUGCUCUAUGUGCAGCUGAUGAAGCUUUGAGAGAUGAAAAUUGGUUGCCUUCGGAAAAUAAGAAGAAGGAAAGAACGGGUGUUUCAAUUGGUGGGGGAAUCGGAAGCAUCUCAGACAUUUUAAAUGCAUGACUGCUGAUUGCUGAAAAUGAAAUAUGCAGUUAUGGAUCCAUUCUAUAGUUGGAAUAUGAGACUCCAUAUGUGUGUGUAUGUUUAUUCUUGCUUGAAUCUCGUGCUGAAGGUGUGAACAGCAAUUUGCAACGUCGUGGCAAGGUUCAGUUCGGCAAGGAGACCAAUGAGGCAGCUACUUGUACAAUGUCCAAGCCGAUUGUACUCUGACCUGUCAAACAAGAAGACUCGAUGCAACUAGCUGCUGAAAAGGAGAUGAAUGUGGUCCUGUUGACAACCAAGACAAAGAAGCAGGAGACCAAGCCUUCUGCGUUCCCCAUUGGCAUGCACAAGGAGUUCCGCAAGAUGGACAAUGUUGUCCAGAAUUAGGUCACUAGCAGCUACUACAUGACCAACUUGACCAAGCCCACUCUUCCAAGACUAUCAAUUUACCGCAACCUCCAAGUUACGGCGACGCAUGGGCGGGGCAGCCACCCCCUAGAUCCCGUUAGCACAAUGUCAUAAAAAUAUAUUUAUACUGAUUGUUGCGCAAAGUAGAAGGCAAUUGUUUGUAGUUAUUAGUUUAUUUCCUCUAUAUACAAUGACACGGUUUA